CCUGCCCACUGAAAUUUUUUAAAGGGCCGCGGUAUUUUGACUGUGCAAAGGUAGCAUAAUCAUUAGUCUUUUAAUUGGAGGCUUGUAUGAAUGGUUGGAUGAGGUAUUAACUGUCUCAAUUUAAUAAAUAAUAGAAUUUUAUUUUUAAGUUAAAAAGCUUAAAUUUUAUUAAAAGACGAGAAGACCCUAUAGAUCUUUAUAAUUAAAUUUAUAAUAAUUUUUUAGGUUAAAUUUAUUUUUAUAAAAAUAAUUAUUAUAUUGGGGUGAUAAAAAAAUUUAUAAAACUUUUUUUUAAAAAUAAACAAUGAUAUUUGGUUAAUUGAUCCAUUUUUUGUGAUUAUAAGAUUAAGUUACCUUAGGGAUAACAGCGUAAUUUUUUUGGAGAGUUCUUAUCGAUAAAAAAGAUUGCGACCUCGAUGUUGAAUUAAAGGUUAAUUUUAGGUGUAGAAGUUUAAAAUUUUGGUCUG
RNAcentral lists this ribosomal RNA (467 nucleotides) under Sinochauliodes squalidus. RNAcentral describes it as "partial large subunit ribosomal RNA". The stretch from base 1 to 162 matches the Rfam family "Archaeal large subunit ribosomal RNA", at positions 1950 to 2143 of the family's 2987-position model. Lineage: Eukaryota; Metazoa; Arthropoda; Insecta; Megaloptera; Corydalidae. The record is from RNAcentral.